CCUACGGGUGGCAGCAGUCGAGAAUCAUUCACAAUGGGGGAAACCCUGAUGGUGCGACGCCGCGUGGGGGAAUGAAGGUCUUCGGAUUGUAAACCCCUGUCAUGUGGGAGCAAAUUAAAAAGAUAGUACCACAAGAGGAAGAGACGGCUAACUCUGUGCCAGCAGCCGCGGUAAUACAGAGGUCUCAAGCGUUGUUCGGAAUCACUGGGCGGAAAGCGUGCGUAGGCUGUUUCGUAAGUCGUGUGUGAAAGGCGCGGGCUCAACCCGCGGACGGCACAUGAUACUGCGAGACUAGAGUAAUGGAGGGGGAAGCGGAAUUCUCGGUGUAGCAGUGAAAUGCGUAGAUAUCGAGAGGAACACUCGUGGCGAAGGCGGGUUCCUGGACAUUAACUGACGCUGAGGUACGAAGGCCAGGGGAGCGAAAGGGAUUAGAUACCCCUGUAGUC
Molecule: ribosomal RNA, 446 nt
Filed under: uncultured bacterium
Lineage: Bacteria
Description: partial 16S ribosomal RNA
Rfam family: Bacterial small subunit ribosomal RNA
Source: RNAcentral